RNAcentral lists this ribosomal RNA (473 nucleotides) under uncultured bacterium. Its description in RNAcentral is "partial 16S ribosomal RNA". It matches the Rfam family "Bacterial small subunit ribosomal RNA", at positions 355 to 817 of the family's 1533-position model. The record is from RNAcentral.
UGGGGAAUAUUGCGCAAUGGGCGAAAGCCUGACGCAGCGACGCCUGCGUGAGGGAUGAAGGUCUUCGGAUCGUAAACCUCUGUCAAGAGGGAAGAAACCAUUGAAGUCGAACAGGCUUCUUUGCUGACGGUACCUCUAAAGGAAGCACCGGCUAACUCCGUGCCAGCAGCCGCGGUAAUACGGAGGGUGCAAGCGUUAAUCGGAAUCACUGGGCGUAAAGCGCUCGUAGGCGGCUUGGUCAGUCAGAUGUGAAAGCCCUCGGCUUAACCGGGGAACUGCAUUUGAUACUGCCAGGCUUGAGUGUCGGAGAGGGUGGCGGAAUUCCAGGUGUAGGGGUGAAAUCCGUAGAUAUCUGGAGGAACACCAGUGGCGGAAGGCGGCCACCUGGACGACAACUGACGCUGAGGAGCGAAAGCGUGGGUAGCAAACAGGAUUAGAUACCCUGGUAGUCCACGCGGUAAACGAUGGAUGCU